Hippocampus zosterae (dwarf seahorse) is the source of this 919-nucleotide long non-coding RNA. RefSeq lists it as uncharacterized. Lineage: Eukaryota; Metazoa; Chordata; Actinopteri; Syngnathiformes; Syngnathidae. The transcript is spliced from 7 exons. The record is from RefSeq and is a predicted model, not a curated record.
CACGUUUAGGGAAGUGCCCGUCGUCCGUCGUUUCCCCUCCAGCCGCCAGAUGGCAAUGGUGUACAAGAGGCUACAUAUACAAAGGAACGGAGUCCGUCCGAAACAUUCGGAUCCCGUCUGCAACGACGCAAGGCAAGCGAGAAGAUGAUGGGCUUGCGCUCAUCUCAUCUGGAAACUACAACAGGUGAAUGUCCCGUGGUGGCCAUGCUGGAAGCAAGCAACCAUGAACCGGUGAAAGUCCCCUGAUGGCAUUUUUCAAAACAAGCAAUCAAGAGCAAGUCAGGCCGGCAAUCCUUCGGCGGCCAUUUUGUGAGCCAGACGGGGUGCACUUCCUUUGGUGGCCAUUUUUGUGAGCCAGUCGGGUAUGCGUUUUAUUUUUUGUGUGAAUAUUUGAACAUUUGUGUCGCUGUGAUGAUGAUUUUUCCUGCCAUUCGUAGUUUCCACCAGAGGUCAUGUGACCAAAGACGGCUUAAUACUUCCUUGGAUGUCUGAGCGACCCACAACUUUUUAUUUAUUUUCAACGUAGUUGGCAUUUAAACUAACUUUCAUUUCAUUUAGGGUGGAGUAGCUGAGGCGGCCAUUUUGUGAGCCAAACAGGUUGGACUUCCUUUGGCGGCCAUUUUGUGAGCCACUCGGGAAUGUAAAUAUUAUUUUGGGGUGAUUAUUUAAAUGUCUGAGUCGCUGUGAUGACGAUUUUUCCUGCCAUUCGUAGUUUCCACCAGAGGUCUUGCGACCAAAGAUGGCUUAAUACUUCCUUGGAUGUCUGAGCGACGUUGCUCGAUGGUCAUUUGUUAGUUGUGGGGCCGAUGUUAAGGCUUGUCUUGUCUAUUCCCACAGGUUGAUUUCAAGUCAUCUGGAAGAAGCAAAAUGUUGUUUAUUUUUGUUGACUCUGUUUCAAUUGAAUAAAAGAUUUGAAAAC